GGGGGAUUUUGGGGAAAAUGGGGGUGAAAAUUUGGGGGGGAACGGUGAAAAUUUGGGGAAAAUCGGUGGAAAAAUGGGGAAAAUCGGUGGGAAAAUGGCGGAGUUAAGGGGAAAAAUGGGGAAGAAAGGGUUAAAAAUGGGGAUUUUUGGGGUGAAAAAUGGGGAUUUUGGGGUGAAAAAUGGGGAUUUUGGGAAAAUGGGGGUGAAAAUUUGGGGGGGAACGGUGAAAAAAUGGGGAAAAUUGAGCAAAAAAUGUUUUUGAGUUAUUUUGGGUUGAUUUUGGGUGAUUUUGGGGUGAUUUUGGGUCAUUCUGGGUGAUUUUGGGGUGAUUUUUGGUGUUUUGGGGUGAAUUUGGCUGAUUUUGGGGUGAUUUUGGGUCAUUUUGGGUUUUUUUGGAUGAUUUUGGGUGUUUUUGGGGUGAUUUUUGUUGAUUUUUGGUGAUUUUGGGGUGGAUUUGGGUCAUUUUGGGUCAUUCUGGGUGAUUUUGGGGUGAAUUUGUGUGAAUUUGGGUGUUUUUGGGUGAUUUUUGGUGAUUUUGAGGUGAUUUUUGUCGAUUUUUGUUGAUUUUGGAUGUUUUUGGGUCAUUCUGGGUGAUUUUGGGUGAUUUUGGGGUGAUUUUGGGUCAUUCUGGGUGAUUUUUCGUGAAUUUGGGUGAUUUUUGUUGAUUUCUGGUGAUUUUGGGGUGAUUUUGGGUUGAUUUUUGGUGUGUUUUGUUGAUUUUUGGUUGAUUUUGGGUGUUUUUGGGUGGUUUUUGGGUGAUUUUGGUUGUUUUUGGGUUGAUUUUGGGUGAUUUUUGUUGAUUUUGGGGUGAUUUUGGGUGUUUUUGGGUUGAUUUUGGGUGUUUUUGGGUUGUUUUGGGGUGAUUUUUGGGGUGAUUUUGGGUGUUUUUGGGUGAUUUUUGGUGAUUUUGGGGUGAUUUUGGGUGAUUUCCAGAUUGACAGCAUCGUCCUGAUGCGCGACCCCGAGACCGGGCAGUCCAAGGGCUACGGCUUCAUCACCUUCUCGGAGGCGGAGUGCGCCCGGCGCGCCCUGGAGCAGCUGAACGGCUUCGAGCUGCCCGGGGGGGCCGAUGGGACCCCAUUGCCUUCCCAAAAACCCCAAAAACACCCCAAAAACAAACCCCAAAAACACCAAUUUUAGCACUAAAAAAAUCCCCAUUUUUCGUUCCAAAAUCCUCAUUUUUAACCUCAAAAAAAUCAACAUUUUUUGACUAAAAAAUCCUGGGU
Molecule: long non-coding RNA, 1226 nt
Filed under: Cyanistes caeruleus (blue tit)
Lineage: Eukaryota; Metazoa; Chordata; Aves; Passeriformes; Paridae
Description: lncRNA (ENSCCEG00000018888.1)
Source: RNAcentral